GUAAUCGCGGAUCAGCAUGCCGCGGUGAAUACGUUCUCGGGCCUUGUACACACCGCCCGUCACACCAUGGGAGUCGGUAACACCCGAAGUCUGUAGCCUGACGCAAGAGGGCGCAGCCGAAGGUGGGAUUGAUGACUGGGGUGAAGUCGUAACAAGGUACC
RNAcentral lists this ribosomal RNA (161 nucleotides) under uncultured bacterium. RNAcentral's name for it is "partial 16S ribosomal RNA". It matches the Rfam family "Bacterial small subunit ribosomal RNA", at positions 1338 to 1500 of the family's 1533-position model. The record is from RNAcentral.